AUUGCCCAGGGUGUCGGGUACCUUCACGACAGAUCAGGCGAGAAUGUAGUUCACAGGGACCUCAAGCCGUCCAACGUGCUGCUGGACCACCAAUGGAUGCCUAAGAUAGCAGAUUUUGGCACCGCGAAGCUGUUCCGUGACGAUCAGACCGGAACACAAACAGUAGUGGUUACGCCCGCUCGCCACGCCGGAUACGCCGCGCCGGAGUACGCCAAGGACGGGGACAUGACACUCAAGUGUGACGUGUUCAGCUUCGGCGUCGUACUGCUUGAGAUAAUCAGUGGCCGCAAAAACAGUGUUGUACCGAGCCUCAUUUUGCAGGUCUGGAAACUGUGGGAUGAGCACAGGGUCAUGGAUCUUCUGGACGCGGCGGUGGCGCCAGCGCGGCAUCGCUCGGCUCCCGAGCUCUUGUCUGAGCUGCGCAGGUGCAUCCAGAUUGGCCUUCUCUGCGUGCAGCAAUCUCCAGGUGAUAGGCCUGCCAUGUCCGCAGUUCUCUCCAUGCUAACAAGGACUCAGUCCUCGAGCAGCCCAAGAGUUGGCAUUCCGCGGAAGAGGCGAACGGCGCCAUGUUACUAG
RNAcentral lists this ribosomal RNA (576 nucleotides) under Triticum aestivum (bread wheat). RNAcentral describes it as "partial small subunit ribosomal RNA". The record is from RNAcentral. Lineage: Eukaryota; Viridiplantae; Streptophyta; Magnoliopsida; Poales; Poaceae.